UGCUUCAGAGUCAGACAGAAGAGUCUGCAGAAGAGUGGAGGCAGGAGGUCUGUCUGACUUUUCUAUUGCUGUGGGGAUAGCACAGGACCAAACAAGCAGUGCACUGGGGUUGUUUAGCCUCCGAACCCACCUCUAUGACAUAACACCUUUUCCAAGUAGUACCAUCAACUAGCGGCCAAGUAUUCAAACAUGAGCCUGUUGUUACCAUUUUCAUCCAAACCACCACAGAUAUUUCAUAAAGUUACCGAUAGUUUCUACAUGAUGCGGGUUGAGCCCCACUGUGACCGUGGCCUGCUUGUAACCCUGCUCCUCUCUGGCUCCUUACAUGGGGCUUGUUCCCACAGUAGUCUCUAGUGUUAACCUCCUGUGUUUUGUGUGUCUUUUGUGUCCAGCACCCACCAAAAGGGCAAGGAAGUGGAAUGCACAGGUGGAAGAAGAGCCUUCAGAUAAGACUCAGAGGAUGCUGACGUGUAAGGAACGGAGGAGAGCAGCUCGGCAGCAACAAUCCAAAAAAGUCGGUGUGCGCUACUAUGAAACACACAACGUGAAAAACAGAAACAGGAACAAAAAGAAGACGAAUGACUCAGAGGGACAGAAACACAGACAUAAGAAGUUCAGACAGAAGCAGUAACAGCUAGAAAGCUGUUUAUUAAAUUAUACAAAAAU
This 666-nucleotide long non-coding RNA is filed under the name Rattus norvegicus (Norway rat). RNAcentral's name for it is "long non-coding RNA NONRATT022612". Lineage: Eukaryota; Metazoa; Chordata; Mammalia; Rodentia; Muridae. The record is from RNAcentral.